RNAcentral lists this ribosomal RNA (497 nucleotides) under uncultured bacterium. RNAcentral describes it as "partial 16S ribosomal RNA". It matches the Rfam family "Bacterial small subunit ribosomal RNA", at positions 28 to 507 of the family's 1533-position model. The record is from RNAcentral.
GAUGAACGCUGGCGGCGUGCCUAAUACAUGCAAGUCGAGCGAACAGACGAGGAGCUUGCUCCUCUGACGUUAGCGGCGGACGGGUGAGUAACACGUGGAUAACCUACCUAUAAGACUGGGAUAACUUCGGGAAACCGGAGCUAAUACCGGAUAAUAUAUUGAACCGCAUGGUUCAAUAGUGAAAGACGGUUUUACUGUCACUUAUAGAUGGAUCCGCGCCGCAUUAGCUAGUUGGUAAGGUAACGGCUUACCAAGGCAACGAUGCGUAGCCGACCUGAGAGGGUGAUCGGCCACACUGGAACUGAGACACGGUCCAGACUCCUACGGGAGGCAGCAGUAGGGAAUCUUCCGCAAUGGGCGAAAGCCUGACGGAGCAACGCCGCGUGAGUGAUGAAGGUCUUCGGAUCGUAAAACUCUGUUAUUAGGGAAGAACAAAUGUGUAAGUAACUAUGCACGUCUUGACGGUACCUAAUCAGAAAGCCACGGCCAACUACGUG